UGCCUCAGAAGGGCGAAGUACCGGC
RNAcentral lists this non-coding RNA (25 nucleotides) under Mus musculus (house mouse). Lineage: Eukaryota; Metazoa; Chordata; Mammalia; Rodentia; Muridae. The record is from RNAcentral.